RNAcentral lists this transfer RNA (82 nucleotides) under Lewinella sp. Its description in RNAcentral is "tRNA-Leu". It matches the Rfam family "tRNA". From Rfam's summary of the family: Transfer RNA (tRNA) molecules are approximately 80 nucleotides in length. Lineage: Bacteria; Pseudomonadati; Bacteroidota; Saprospiria; Saprospirales; Lewinellaceae. The record is from RNAcentral. RNAcentral also lists the same sequence under 2 other names.
GCGGGUGUGGUGAAAUUGGUAUACACGCCAGAUUUAGGAUCUGGUGCAGCAAUGCGUGAAGGUUCGAGUCCUUUCACCCGCA